RNAcentral lists this unclassified non-coding RNA (343 nucleotides) under soil metagenome. RNAcentral describes it as "partial contains 5.8S ribosomal RNA, internal transcribed spacer 2, and large subunit ribosomal RNA". The stretch from base 1 to 120 matches the Rfam family "5.8S ribosomal RNA", at positions 35 to 154 of the family's 154-position model. The record is from RNAcentral.
GAUGAAGAACGCAGCGAAAUGCGAUAAGUAAUGUGAAUUGCAGAAUUCAGUGAAUCAUCGAAUCUUUGAACGCACAUUGCGCCCGCCAGCAUUCUGGCGGGCAUGCCUGUUCGAGCGUCAUUUCAACCCUCGAGCCCCCCCGGGGGCCUCGGUGUUGGGGGACGGCACACUAGCCGCCCCCGAAAUGCAGUGGCGACCCCGCCGCAGCCUCCCCUGCGUAGUAGCACACACCUCGCACCGGAGCGCGGAGGCGGUCACGCCGUAAAACGCCCAACUUUCUUAGAGUUGACCUCGGAUCAGGUAGGAAUACCCGCUGAACUUAAGCAUAUCAAUAAGCGGAGGA